UACGGAGGGUGCAAGCGUUAUCCGGAUUCACUGGGUUUAAAGGGUGCGUAGGUGGGCUAGUAAGUCCGUGGUGAAAUCUCUGAGCUUAACUCGGAAACUGCCGUGGAUACUAUUAGUCUUGAAUCUCGUGGAGGUAAGCGGAAUAUGUCAUGUAGCGGUGAAAUGCUUAGAUAUGACAUAGAACACCGAUAGCGAAGGCAGCUUGCUACACGAGUAUUGACACUGAGGCACGAAAGCGUGGGGAUCAAAC
RNAcentral lists this ribosomal RNA (250 nucleotides) under uncultured bacterium. RNAcentral's name for it is "partial 16S ribosomal RNA". It matches the Rfam family "Bacterial small subunit ribosomal RNA", at positions 524 to 773 of the family's 1533-position model. The record is from RNAcentral.